GGUUAGCUCUUUCCCCUUGAAAGCUUCCUUAAACAAGUGGCAAGUGAGAAAACUGAAUUCGGACCCUGCUCAGCUUCACUUUGGUUUGGUAAAGGGACCAAACUCACCAUCCUUGCCUGUUGACCCCGUGGUGGAGGAGGCUUUGGGGUGGGAAGUGACAUCCAGCUGGCUGUUUGAAACCUCAUCCCAGCAUUCAGAAGCUUUCUCACUUGCUGGCUGGACUGAAGCCAACUCUUUGAAUUCAACUGAGCAUGGCUAAGAUACUGAGGAUUUUGGAAAGGUUCAGAAACUGCACUGCCAUCACGAUCUCAUCAGGACCGAAACUCAAGAUCAAUUAUUGUUUGAUAGAAUGUGGAAGGAUGAAGCUUCCACAAAUCCUUCAUAAAAUCUUAUUGUAGAAUAUGAGUUCCCUGAAAAGAUCAGACUUCAAUCAUCUCAUUUAAUAGAAAAGUCAGUUGAGGCUCAGAAAGUGAAAAUGACUUUCUCAAAGCCAGAUUAAAAAGUAACAAAGUGAAGGGUGAAGCAUGAUUUUCAUAGAACCUAGGUUUUGGAAGGGAACUCAGAGGUCAUGUGGUUCAUCUUCCUACUCAACACAGAAAUCCCCAGAAGAGAAGCAGCCAAUAUCCUCUUGAAUACCCUAAAGAACCAAGGUAUUAACUCAACACAUUCUCAUAUGAUGAAC
Long non-coding RNA from Bos indicus x Bos taurus (hybrid cattle), 682 nucleotides. The record is from Ensembl. Lineage: Eukaryota; Metazoa; Chordata; Mammalia; Artiodactyla; Bovidae.